GGAGGGACCGCUGAUGGUGGCUUUGCAUUCUCCUGGGCAGAUCUGUAUCUUCGUCGGGGAGACGCUGCUGUUUUCUAACUGGGCCAUCACUGCAGACAUCCUCAUGUACGUGGUCAUCCCCACCCGGCGGGCCACUGCCGUGGCCUUGCAGAGCUUCACCUCCCACCUGCUGGGGGAUGCCGGGAGCCCCUACCUCAUUGGCUUUGUGAGUAGCCCUGGGGUGGGGCUGGCCUGGGGAGAAUGGGGGGCUUCAGGAGGGCUCUGCCCUGACAUCCACCCCCAAAUCCUUGCAGAUCUCAGACCUGAUCCGCCAGAGCACCAAGGACUCCCCGCUCUGGGAGUUCCUGAGCCUGGGCUACGCGCUCAUGCUCUGCCCUUUUGUCGUGGUCCUGGGUGGCAUGUUCUUCCUUGCCACUGCUCUCUUCUUCCUCAGCGACCGCGCCAAGGCUGAGCAGCAGUGAGUGGGGGUGAGGGGAGGCCCUGCCGUGCCCGCUGGGAAGCAGGGACCAUGAAAGCCACUGUGAGCGCUGCCCUGGGGUGGGUCGGGGAGGGUACAGACCUCUGAUGGACCCAGUGGGUGACCUGGUUGCUGGGGUCCAGCCCUGGGGCCUUCCCGUGCCUCUGGGGCUCAGUGCCAGGGUCAGCCUGGAGUUGUGGGAAGCCACGGUGGUGUCUGGUGGAUCCAGACUUGGGUUUGUCUCUGUACUUAGUGGUUUUCAAAGCUGGGACCCCUCCCCUUCCUCUUCCUCUCACUUUCUGACUUCUUUCUCCUUUCCUCUUUACUCCU
Molecule: small RNA, 787 nt
Filed under: Pongo abelii (Sumatran orangutan)
Lineage: Eukaryota; Metazoa; Chordata; Mammalia; Primates; Hominidae
Description: retained intron
Source: RNAcentral